RNAcentral lists this ribosomal RNA (447 nucleotides) under uncultured bacterium. RNAcentral's name for it is "partial 16S ribosomal RNA". It matches the Rfam family "Bacterial small subunit ribosomal RNA", at positions 29 to 523 of the family's 1533-position model. The record is from RNAcentral.
AGCGAACGCUGGCGGCAGGCUUAACACAUGCAAGUCGAACGGUCCUUCGGGAUAGUGGCGGACGGGUGAGUAACACGUGGGAACGUACCCUUAGGUUCGGAACAACACAGGGAAACUUGUGCUAAUACCGGAUAAGCCCUUCGGGGGAAAGAUUUAUCGCCUUUGGAGCGGCCCGCGUCUGAUUAGCUUGUUGGUGAGGUAAUGGCUCACCGAGGCUACGAUCAGUAGCUGGUCUGAGAGGAUGGCCAGCCACACUGGGACUGAGACACGGCCCAGACUCCUACGGGAGGCAGCAGUGGGGAAUCUUGCGCAAUGGGCGAAAGCCUGACGCAGCCAUGCCGCGUGGAUGAUGAAGGUCUUAGGGUUGUAAAAUCCUUUCACCGGGGACGAUAAUGACGGUACCCGGAGAAGAAGCCCCGGCUAACUUCGUGCCAGCCGCCGCGGUAA